Molecule: unclassified non-coding RNA, 220 nt
Filed under: uncultured Archaeorhizomycetales
Lineage: Eukaryota; Fungi; Ascomycota; Archaeorhizomycetes
Description: sequence contains 5.8S rRNA gene, ITS2, 28S rRNA gene
Source: RNAcentral
AACGCACAUUGCGCCUCCCGUAACUGGGAGGCAUGCCUGUCUGAGCUUCAUUUAAACCAAUAAGCCCGAAAUGGGUUUGUGCUGGGCCUCGCCUGUCGGCGUUGCCUCAAAGUCAUCUGUCUUAUGAGCGGAUGGAGAUCCACUAGGACUUGACCGUUUGUCAGACCCUAAAUCCUCUAGACUUGAACUCAGAUCAGGUAGGACUACCGCCUGAACUUAA